Long non-coding RNA from Cavia porcellus (domestic guinea pig), 1289 nucleotides. RefSeq lists it as uncharacterized. The transcript has 3 exons. The record is from RefSeq and is a predicted model, not a curated record. Lineage: Eukaryota; Metazoa; Chordata; Mammalia; Rodentia; Caviidae.
UGCCAGGCAGAAUUUUUCAUUGGCUACCACACCAGCGAUCCCAGCGCUCAUUGGCCACACCCAUCGCCGCCGAGUUUCUAAUCGGGUCAGGGCCCCACAGCCUCUUGGGUAAUUUGGGCGUGAGUCCUCGAGACGGGCGGGGCAACGAGGCCUGGGCUCCGGGGGGUCAGGCCGGGCCCGAGGGCUGGAAUCUCUGGCUUGCUUCCAUUUUCGGUUUAGGCCCAGGCUGUGGUAACUUAAACCUUAUCUGCCCGCCAUCCUCAUUUGCAUCCGAAAAUGAAAGGGGACUGGAAAGGACGCUCACUUUCUAGCAAUAUUGGUCACUGAAUCACAUGGUAAGCAACAGGGGAGAACUCAUGGUGUCUGAAGAGGUCUUGGUCCAGGAAGGAUGGUCUCUUCUGAGGAUAUGGAUUGGCUUACCUGACGAUGUUAAGAAGAGAAAACCAUCACACACAUUCCUUUUCCUUUCACCAUUCUCUUAGGAGCAAGUGGCCUUUCAGGGGCAUUUUCUUCCCCAUAUGUAGAGGAUUUUUGUUGUUGUCCAUUGUUGCUAUUGACUUGGGACUAUUUCUGUCUGUUUAUCCCUGGGGUUGUGUACUAUGAAAAUGUGUCUGUUUUAUUGCUGAUAAAGCUGUUUGACCUCUUUCAAUUGAACUUUUUAUCUUAUUUUUCAAUUGAUUCAGAACCAGACUAGAAGAGUAAUAUCAUUUACUGUAGUUCUAAGCAGUUACUAUUAUUAAUAUUAUCAUGUAUGUGCCAAAACAAUUAUAAGCAAGUAAAUAUGACAGAGUUUAGAUUAUAAAGAAACUGUAAGUCAGUAUAAUGUGUGGCAAUUUAUGGGGGGGAGGGAAAGAACUCUCCUGGCACACAUAUUUUGAAUUCUGAAAUUACAGUGCUGGCGAGCUAAGGGAGAGAGGUCCACAUUCCACGACCACAGUAGCACAAUGAACAAAGUGUGCUAUUGUAGACUGCACUGGUGGGAAAAUAUUUCAUUAUAGUAUGAGGCUCUAUUCUUGUCAUACUUACUAAAGAGGAGCAGAACACAUUCAAUAGUUAGCUGUAACGCUUCUGUUCUUCUAGUAUGCUCUGACCACAAGAAUGAAACAUACGAUUGCAUAUUAUUUAUUAACUCUAUAGUUUCUAUUUGUUUCAGGAAAGUAGUUCACUUGAGUUGUAUAUAAAUUCAUUAGCCUUGUUUAAAUUCUGCAGAUUGUUCUUUUAUAGAGUUUCAGUUUCUGUGAGGUUUGUAUAUCUUGUAGAAUGGUUUUAAAUAAAAUAUGCCUUUAUAA